Molecule: ribosomal RNA, 451 nt
Filed under: Doriprismatica marinae
Lineage: Eukaryota; Metazoa; Mollusca; Gastropoda; Nudibranchia; Chromodorididae
Description: partial 16S ribosomal RNA
Rfam family: Archaeal large subunit ribosomal RNA
Source: RNAcentral
AGCUUUAGGGAUGGAUCUAAGGUUAUACCUGCCCAAUGUGUAAUUCUAUUAAUGGCCGCGGUACCUUGACCGUGCUAAGGUAGCGCAAUCAAUUGGCUCUUAAUUGGGGUCAGGAAUGAAUGGAGUUACGGAGUUUUACUGUCUCUUAGUUAAUUAUUCUAAAUUACUAUUUAGGUGAAAAAGCCUAAUAAAAGAAAGGGGACGAGAAGACCCUUAGAGUUUGGCCUAGAUAAAUUUUAGAAAUUUUGUUUAUAAUGGUUUAGUUGGGGCAACGUAGGAGCAAUAAAAAUAAAAAUCUCCUAAAUUUUAUUAACCGAUAUUUUUAAAUUUAGAUAAACUACCUUAGGGAUAACAGCAUAAUUUAAUAAAUAAGUUUGUGACCUCGAUGUUGGACUAGGAAACUUAAAGGCUAGCCGUCUUUAAGGAAAGUUCUGUUCGAACUAUAAUUCCU